RNAcentral lists this ribosomal RNA (253 nucleotides) under uncultured bacterium. RNAcentral describes it as "partial 16S ribosomal RNA". It matches the Rfam family "Bacterial small subunit ribosomal RNA", at positions 524 to 776 of the family's 1533-position model. The record is from RNAcentral.
UACGAAGGGGGCUAGCGUUGCUCGGAAUCACUGGACGUAAAGGGUGCGUAGGCGGGUCUUUAAGUCAGGGGUGAAAUCCUGGAGCUCAACUCCAGGACUGCCUUUGAUACUGAGGAUCUUGAGUUCGGGAGAGGUGAGUGGAACUGCGAGUGUAGAGGUGAAAUUCGUAGAUAUUCGCAAGAACACCAGUGGCGAAGGCGGCUCACUGGCCCGAUACUGACGCUGAGGCACGAAAGCGUGGGGAGCAAACAGG